Molecule: non-coding RNA, 2434 nt
Organism: Danio rerio (zebrafish)
Lineage: Eukaryota; Metazoa; Chordata; Actinopteri; Cypriniformes; Danionidae
Source: RefSeq, a predicted model, not a curated record
UGUCGUUAAUUGUGUUUUAUUUAUAAUCAGAAUUUCUUUUGAAUUAGAAUGAACUUAGUCUUAAUAAAUUUACUGUGGUCAUGUUACAGUAAUAUUGGAUGUAGGGGCGGGGCGGGGUCAAAUAGCUCCGCCUUUAGUGUUUCAACUAGGUCCUGUAAGCGAUUGUAAUAUGUCACGCGCAAACCUCGUCUUUUACUUGUUCAAUCAUCCUCAAAUUAAGACAUGUCUGGAAGAGGCAAAGGCGGUAAAGGACUAGGGAAAGGAGGCGCUAAGCGUCACCGUAAAGUUCUACGUGACAACAUCCAGGGAAUCACCAAACCCGCCAUCCGUCGUCUCGCUCGCCGUGGCGGUGUGAAGCGUAUCUCUGGCCUGAUCUACGAGGAGACUCGUGGAGUGUUGAAGGUGUUUCUGGAGAAUGUUAUCCGUGAUGCUGUUACAUACACCGAGCACGCCAAGAGAAAGACCGUGACCGCCAUGGAUGUUGUGUACGCGCUGAAGAGACAGGGACGUACUCUGUACGGCUUUGGAGCUGCCCCGCCUGCUAAAGCUCCUAAGAAGAAAGCGGCGUCCAAACCCAAGAAAACGGGCCCAAAUGUCCGCGAUCUCAUCGUCAAAACUGUGACCGCUUCUAAGGAGCGACAAGGAGUCUCCCUCGCAGCCCUAAAGAAAGCUCUCUCUGCCGGCGGCUACGAUGUGGAGAAGAACAAUUCCCGCGUUAAAAUCGCCGUCAAGGCUUUAGUGCUCAACGGCACUCUGGUUCAGACUAAAGGCACAGGCGCCUCUGGUUCCUUCAAGCUGAACAAGAAGCAAGCCGAGCCCAAGAAGAAGCCAGCGGCCAAGAAAACUGCAGCAAAGGCCAAGAAACCGGCCGCUAAGAAGUCGCCGAAGAAGGUGAAGAAACCGGCCGCCGCGAAGAAGGCGACAAAGAGCCCUAAGAAAGCCAAGAAGCCUGCAGCUGCCAAGAAAGCAACAAAAAGCCCCAAGAAGGUGAAGAAACCAGCGGCUGCCAAGAAAGCAACUAAGAGCCCCAAAAAGGCGAAAGUUGCAAAGCCCAAAACGGUGAAGCCAAAGGCGGCCAAGCCUAAGAAGGCCACUCCCAAGAAGAAUCGAAAGUCAUUCAUUCUUCUCUUUGCUAAAGAUAAGAAGGAAGCAGUGAUCAACAUGAGCGGACGAGGCAAAACCGGAGGCAAGGCCAGAGCAAAGGCUAAGACUCGCUCAUCGAGAGCUGGUCUUCAGUUCCCAGUUGGUCGUGUCCACAGGUUGCUCCGCAAGGGCAACUACGCCGAGCGCGUUGGUGCCGGUGCCCCAGUGUACUUGGCCGCUGUGCUCGAGUAUCUGACAGCUGAGAUUCUGGAGUUGGCUGGAAACGCUGCUAGGGACAACAAAAAGACCCGUAUCAUCCCCCGUCACCUGCAGCUGGCGGUGCGCAAUGACGAGGAGCUGAACAAGCUUCUGGGCGGAGUGACCAUCGCUCAGGGUGGUGUGCUGCCCAACAUCCAGGCUGUGCUGCUGCCCAAAAAGACGGAGAAGGCCGCCAAAGUUUUACUUUUGCAAAGUAAGCGAGAGAACUCUGAUAAAAUGGCAAGAACCAAGCAGACCGCCCGUAAAUCCACUGGGGGUAAAGCCCCGAGGAAACAACUUGCUACUAAAGCUGCCCGCAAGAGCGCUCCCGCCACCGGUGGCGUCAAGAAGCCUCAUCGCUACAGGCCCGGCACCGUGGCUCUGCGUGAGAUCCGCCGCUACCAGAAGUCCACUGAGCUGCUGAUCCGCAAACUGCCCUUCCAGCGCCUGGUUCGUGAAAUCGCUCAGGACUUCAAGACCGAUCUGCGUUUCCAGAGCUCCGCUGUCAUGGCCCUGCAGGAGGCCAGCGAGGCUUAUCUGGUAGGUCUUUUUGAGGACACUAACCUGUGCGCCAUCCACGCCAAGAGAGUCACCAUCAUGCCCAAAGACAUCCAGCUGGCCCGCCGCAUCCGCGGAGAGCAAAAUAACAUUCGUCAAUCUGGUUGCCAACUUGUUAAUUCGGUCACUGAUAGAAUCAUGUCUGGAAGGGGCAAAGGCGGUAAAGGACUCGGGAAAGGAGGCGCUAAGCGUCACCGCAAAGUUCUCCGUGAUAACAUCCAGGGAAUCACUAAGCCUGCCAUCCGUCGUCUUGCUCGCCGUGGUGGUGUGAAGCGUAUCUCCGGUCUGAUCUACGAGGAGACUCGCGGUGUGUUGAAGGUGUUUCUGGAAAACGUGAUCCGUGAUGCCGUUACUUACACCGAGCACGCCAAGAGAAAGACCGUGACCGCAAUGGAUGUUGUCUACGCUCUGAAGAGACAGGGACGCACUCUGUACGGCUUCGGCGGUUAAACAUUUGUUAAUCAUUCAAAAACCCAACGGCUCUUUUAAGAGCCACCCACACUUUCACAAAGAGCCAGUUUUAAACUUUUCGAGU